Molecule: ribosomal RNA, 737 nt
Filed under: uncultured Staphylococcus sp.
Lineage: Bacteria; Bacillati; Bacillota; Bacilli; Caryophanales; Staphylococcaceae
Description: bacterial SSU rRNA
Rfam family: Bacterial small subunit ribosomal RNA
Source: RNAcentral
AAGUCGAGCGAACGGACGAGAAGCUUGCUUCUCUGAUGUUAGCGGCGGACGGGUGAGUAACACGUGGAUAACCUACCUAUAAGACUGGGAUAACUUCGGGAAACCGGAGCUAAUACCGGAUAAUAUUUUGAACCGCAUGGUUCAAAAGUGAAAGACGGUCUUGCUGUCACUUAUAGAUGGAUCCGCGCUGCAUUAGCUAGUUGGUAAGGUAACGGCUUACCAAGGCAACGAUGCAUAGCCGACCUGAGAGGGUGAUCGGCCACACUGGAACUGAGACACGGUCCAGACUCCUACGGGAGGCAGCAGUAGGGAAUCUUCCGCAAUGGGCGAAAGCCUGACGGAGCAACGCCGCGUGAGUGAUGAAGGUCUUCGGAUCGUAAAACUCUGUUAUUAGGGAAGAACAUAUGUGUAAGUAACUGUGCACAUCUUGACGGUACCUAAUCAGAAAGCCACGGCUAACUACGUGCCAGCAGCCGCGGUAAUACGUAGGUGGCAAGCGUUAUCCGGAAUUAUUGGGCGUAAAGCGCGCGUAGGCGGUUUUUUAAGUCUGAUGUGAAAGCCCACGGCUCAACCGUGGAGGGUCAUUGGAAACUGGAAAACUUGAGUGCAGAAGAGGAAAGUGGAAUUCCAUGUGUAGCGGUGAAAUGCGCAGAGAUAUGGAGGAACACCAGUGGCGAAGGCGACUUUCUGGUCUGUAACUGACGCUGAUGUGCGAAAGCGUGGGGAUCAAACAGGAU